This is a long non-coding RNA of Hyalella azteca, 1635 nucleotides long. RefSeq lists it as uncharacterized. Lineage: Eukaryota; Metazoa; Arthropoda; Malacostraca; Amphipoda; Hyalellidae. The transcript is spliced from 2 exons. The record is from RefSeq and is a predicted model, not a curated record.
CGACAGCUGCAGCAGCAACAACAAUGGCAGCUGCAGCAGCAACAACAAUGGCUGCCACAGGAACAACAGAUGCUGCAGGACCUACAGAUACUGCCUCAACAUCAAGAGCUGCUGCAGCCUGAUGAACUGCAUCAAAAAAUUCUGCAGCGGUUACAACAACAGAUGCUGCAGAAACAACAAGAGAUGCAGCAGCUAGAAGAUAGACAACAAAUUCUGCAGAAGUUACAACAACAGAUGUUGCGGCAACAAGAGCUGCAGCAGCUAGAAGAAAAGCUGCAACAUCUAAUGCUGUAGCAGUUACAACAACAACAGGAGCAAGUAUAACAGGAUUACCAGACCGUUAUCUAUAUGACCAGGCAAUUCAUUCAAGCACAUCACAGUGAAGAAACUGGCGAUACAAUGACCACUACCCCAAAGACCCUAAUUUUACCCCAACUUUUUAAUCCGCGCAAGCAACCAUAACAUUCCUUCACGCGGCUACAUCUGUUCUAAGCAUGGCCUCUCUAAAGACAUCAUCAACCUCACCCGACAGCGAAACAACCUCCGUGCUGCCAACUCCACCUCUGACGAUGUAGCAGUCCUCACUGCCCAUAAUCAACAGCUCACUAACGACAUAAAAAAAGCCCGAUGGAAACAAUACCUCUCUACCUUCAACCGCCAUACCUACGUUAAACGCCUCUGGUCAACAAUAAAGGCCUUGCGGCAAGCCAAAAAACUACCCAAAUAACGCCAUCAACUUCAAUGAGAAACCCAUUAAUAAUAUCAAAAAUCUUGCCGAUUGCUUCGACAGUCUCUUCACGGCUGUCGCUCAACACAGGUCCAAUAAACUCAAUAGAAUCACAACCCGGAAGUCGAAGAACCUCAACCUAUCGGACAGUCCCUCCCUCUCAACGGCACAAGUGGCCAACGCAAUCAAACAAUCCCGUCCCUCUAAAGCCACUGGACCAAACAAACUCACCAUCUUUUACCUCAAAUAUCUUGGACCACUCGGAAUUACCUACCUGACCCGCUGUAAGGUGGAAAAAAUAAUAAUUAACUUUCAUUUCUGCAUUAUAUUACUCAUUCCGCAUUCAAUUAAUUUCUUCCUGGUUAGAAGAUAGUUCCUCCAUCCCUAUGUUGAUAAACAUAUAUUUGUAUUAGCCUUCCUUGUUUUACCCGGUAGAGACUAAGUCAUACUGCUGCUCUAACCCGGCAAACUGGACAAUGGCGCUAAAUCCUACCGACCAAUCUCCCUGCUUUGCCCCGCCAUCAAAGUCCUGGAACGAUGCUUGCUUCCUUUUAUCACUCAACACCUGCUCCUAGACGAUCAUCAACAUGGAUUCCGCCCUGGAUAUUCGACCACCUCUGCGCUCACCCUUGUGUGAACAUGGACGAGAUUUUGCUCCUACAAAAUAGCUUUCGCAGGCGGCCUGUUGGGUACAAAAUUAUACAACGUGAUGGCAAAUACAAUGUAUCAUCUGAAAUUACUGUUUUAGAGGUUUGACAUUGCUGCACAAUGAUCAACGUGUUGUCUAGUUUUGCAUCAUUAUCAAGCUUGUAAGACUCCUGAGCGACACACAUGUUUAAUGAAUACAUACUAACACUUACAACAGAAUACCAUAUUAUAUAUAAAAUUAUUAUGUAUUAUACACACAA